RNAcentral lists this ribosomal RNA (490 nucleotides) under uncultured bacterium. RNAcentral describes it as "partial 16S ribosomal RNA". It matches the Rfam family "Bacterial small subunit ribosomal RNA", at positions 28 to 507 of the family's 1533-position model. The record is from RNAcentral.
GAUGAACGCUAGCUACAGGCUUAACACAUGCAAGUCGCGGGGCAGCAUGGGGGUUGCUUGCAAUCCCCGAUGGCGACCGGCGCACGGGUGAGUAACGCGUAUCCAACCUGCCCUUCACCACGGGAUAACCCGGCGAAAGUCGGACUAAUACCGUAUGUUGUCCAUUGACGGCAUCCGAUUUGGACGAAAGGUUUGGCGGUGAAGGAUGGGGAUGCGUCCGAUUAGCUGGACGGCGGGGUGACGGCCCACCGUGGCGACGAUCGGUAGGGGUUCUGAGAGGAAGGUCCCCCACACUGGAACUGAGACACGGUCCAGACUCCUACGGGAGGCAGCAGUGAGGAAUAUUGGUCAAUGGGCGUAAGCCUGAACCAGCCAAGUAGCGUGCAGGAUGACGGCCCUAUGGGUUGUAAACUGCUUUUAUGCGGGGAUAAAGUGGCCCACGUGUGGGUUUUUGCAGGUACUGCAUGAAUAAGAACCGGCUAAUUCCGUG